AGCUUGCUUUCUUGAGACCGGCGCACGGGUGCGUAACUGCGUAUGCAACCUACCUUUAUCUGGGGGAUAGCCCGGAGAAAUCCGGAUUAAUACCGCAUAAAAUCACAGUAUUGCAUAAUACAAUGAUCAAAUAUUUAUAGGAUGAAGAUGGGCAUGCGUGUCAUUAGCUAGUUGGCGGGGUAACGGCCCACCAAGGCGACGAUGACUAGGGGAUCUGAGAGGAUGGCCCCCCACACUGGUACUGAGACACGGACCAGACUCCUACGGGAGGCAGCAGUAAGGAAUAUUGGUCAAUGGAGGCAACUCUGAACCUGCCAUGCCGCGUGCAGGAAGACUGCCCUAAGGGUUGUAAACUGCUUUUAUCUGGGAAUAAACCUAUUUACGUGUAAGUAGCUGAAUGUACCAGAAGAAUAAGGAUCGGCUAACUCCGUGCCAGCAGCCGCGGUAAUACGGAGGAUCCAAGCGUUAUCCGGAUUUAUUGGGUUUAAAGGGUGCGUAGGCGGCCUGUUAAGUCAGGGGUGAAAGACGGUAGCUCAACUAUCGCAGUGCCCUUGAUACUGACGGGCUUGAAUGGACUAGAGGUAGGCGGAAUGAGACAAGUAGCGGUGAAAUGCAUAGAUAUGUCUCA
This 628-nucleotide ribosomal RNA is filed under the name uncultured Pedobacter sp. RNAcentral describes it as "bacterial SSU rRNA". It matches the Rfam family "Bacterial small subunit ribosomal RNA", at positions 77 to 703 of the family's 1533-position model. The record is from RNAcentral. Lineage: Bacteria; Pseudomonadati; Bacteroidota; Sphingobacteriia; Sphingobacteriales; Sphingobacteriaceae.